GGUCCUGUAGCUCAGUUGGGAGAGUACCACCUUGACAUGGUGGGGGUCGCUGGUUCGAGACCAGUCGGGACCA
RNAcentral lists this transfer RNA (73 nucleotides) under Listeria monocytogenes. Its description in RNAcentral is "tRNA-Val". It matches the Rfam family "tRNA". From Rfam's summary of the family: Transfer RNA (tRNA) molecules are approximately 80 nucleotides in length. Their secondary structure includes four short double-helical elements and three loops (D, anti-codon, and T loops). The record is from RNAcentral. Lineage: Bacteria; Bacillati; Bacillota; Bacilli; Caryophanales; Listeriaceae.